Molecule: ribosomal RNA, 547 nt
Filed under: uncultured Glomus
Lineage: Eukaryota; Fungi; Glomeromycota; Glomeromycetes; Glomerales; Glomeraceae
Description: SSU rRNA
Rfam family: Eukaryotic small subunit ribosomal RNA
Source: RNAcentral
UUGGAGGGCAAGUCUGGUGCCAGCAGCCGCGGUAAUUCCAGCUCCAAUAGCGUAUAUUAAAGUUGUUGCAGUUAAAAAGCUCGUAGUUGAAUUCGGAAUCAGUAUGUUGGUCGUGCUUCGGUACGUACUGUCAUUACUGGUUUCUCCCUUCUGAAGAACCUUGAUGUCAUUAAAUUGGUGUCCUGGGGAAUCAGGAUUGUUACUUUGAAAAAAUUAGAGUGUUUAAAGCAGGCAUACGCUUGAAUACAUUAGCAUGGAAUAAUGAAAUAGGGCGUUUGAUUCUAUUUUGUUGCUUUCUAGGAUCGACGUAAUGAUUAAUAGGGAUAGUUGGGGGCAUUAGUAUUCAAUUGUCAGAGGUGAAUUUCUUGGAUUUAUUGAGGACUAACUACUGCGAAAGCAUUUGCCAAGGAUGUUUCCAUUAAUCAAGAACGGAAGUUAGGGGAUCGGAGACGAUCAGAUACCGUCGUAGUCUAAACCAUAAACUAUGCCGACUAGGGAUCGGAUGAUGUUAAUUUUUUAAUGACUCAUUCGGCGCCUUACGGGAAAC